This 107-nucleotide ribosomal RNA is filed under the name Pogona vitticeps (central bearded dragon). Lineage: Eukaryota; Metazoa; Chordata; Lepidosauria; Squamata; Agamidae. The record is from RNAcentral.
GUCUACCACCAUACCACUUUGAACACUUCUGAUUCCAGCUGCUAAACAGGGUUUAGUCUGGUUAAUAAUUAGAUGGGAGACCACCACAUAAUAUCAGAAGCUUGCCU